Molecule: long non-coding RNA, 3127 nt
Filed under: Equus caballus (horse)
Lineage: Eukaryota; Metazoa; Chordata; Mammalia; Perissodactyla; Equidae
Description: lncRNA (ENSECAG00000029359.3)
Source: RNAcentral
AGGAACUGCUCCUAAACUACAUGUGGGCAUACGGGCUGUUUAUCAGUCUUCUGAAGUACGCAUCAUGGAAAAAUGUGAAAUAUACAGAAGAUGAGUUGGAUCAUGCUGGUUGCAGGAUGAUUACUCCUUAUGGCUGAAACUCCUCAGUGGUUCAUUCCAGCACCGCUCACCACAUGGCAGAGAUCAUCCUCCUGUCUUCCUCUCGCAGGGCAAAAAAAAAUUAAGAGUAAAUUGGCUGGCUCAAUAGACUUCCUGACUCCAGCAAGAUAAGUAUUUACUAUGUUUAUGAAGUUGUUUAUGUAGUGCAAUAAUACAAGUGAUUUAAUAAAGAUAAGACUUCAGAUAAAUAUCAACACGCUUCCCACUCUGCAGCUGGUCCAUUUCAAGCAGUUAAAAUAAAUUAAAAGAUAAAAUACUGCUCACAAAAAAAUUGAUCAUUGUCCAAGGGAAACGUUUAAAAUGGAAAGAAAUUGCCCACUUUCAGUGUACAAAGCCAUAUGCAUAUGUGUGGGGAAUGAACCUCUCUGCAAUCUAGAGAUUCUCUACCUAAAAAGAAAGGGGCAGGAAGCUAUGUUUUGUAGGUGUUUGCCGUAACAAGACAUAAUUAAAAAGUACUUACAGUUUGUAGACAAGUAUUAAUGACUGGUGUUAUUUAUAGAACAAAUAAUGGAGACCUUUGAAUUAGAUAAAAUAAAUGCUAUUAAUUCUGUUAUUUAUCUAUCUUUAUAUACACCAAGGCAUAGCUAGUGAAAGCUUACUAAGCUAUAAAAUGUAGAUGCUGUCACUGGAAUUUAAAUAGCAUACAGUAGAUGUGAAUUUUACCCAACCUUCUCUGUUUACAUUGCUUUGAAAAAAUAUUUAUGCUUUUACUUGCAGUUUCUCUAGAACAUAAUCUGACAUUUGAAAAAUAUAGUAGAAACGAUAACAGAGAAAGAAGAUGUAUCUUCAUGGUGGUCAAAUCAUUAUUUCUUUUGUCUUCCAGAUUGGAGUGGAUGGGCUUCCUUUCCUCUGUUCUUUCAAAGCACACAGUGUAAAUCUCUACCAUUUCAGCACGCCCUCACCUAUUUUUUCCAUCCAAGGCGUAUAUCAUAGUUCUUGGCGUAUAGUACUUGUUCAAAAGGGUAUUUAAAGCAAGCACUGUUCAGUUUAGAAAUGGUGGCCCAGUAGGCUGAUGGUGGGCUCUUGCUGAAUUCUGAACCACUGAACCUUCUUACAAGACAUCAAGGUUGCUGUCACACAGCAGAGAAUAUUGAAUUGAAACAUGAAGCAUGAAGCUCAUGACAUCAAGUUUUUGGUGUGAUCAGGAAAAAAUUGUUUACCAUAGUUCUAGAUUACUCUUUUUUUAUUCCUGAAAAUUUCAUGGAAUAUUUAGUAUUUAUAGUAUUGCACAAAGUGUUUUUCAAAUGUGUGACACACAGAGACAUUAGACAUUUGCAAUUUCAAAUGCCAGGGACAAGAUGUGCAUCUGCCUUAUGAACUGAGAAGUUGGCCUUUGUGAACAGGUGUGGUAGGUUUUUUAAUGGCCACAAAUUCCUCCAGUUUCUGUACUGGGCCCUUUUGCAAUAUGGCUUUUCAUUCGGAAGUGGAGUCUUUUUAUCUAUACCUUGACUCUGGGCUGACUUUUUAUUUGUUUGACCAAUAAAAUGUGCCAAAAGUAACAUUCUGUGAAUUCUAGGGGCUAGGACUUAAGAGGCGUUGCAGUUUCUGCCUUUGCAUUUCCUGGAACACUACCCUGAGACCUCCACAUGAAGAAACUUCUGCUUACUGGAGGUUGAGAAGCCAAGUGGUAACCUGAGGCUUCCCAGGUGACAGCCAGAACCAAGUAUCGGACAUAAGUAGAGAAGUGCCUGACUCUUUGUGGAAUCAUAUCCAGCCCACCACACCUGGUCGUCUUACCUCAUCAGCAUGUGGAUGUUACUAAAGUGUGGAGGGAAGGAAGCUAAGCUGGAGAGACAUUCUGCUUGUAUCCUGAAUGUUCAAAUGCUAUCUUCCAAGGAAACAGACUAUGAGACAAAACAGAGAUUAGAGAAUGUUGUGACGUCUAGGAAAGGCUCUGUUUGUACCUGCUUAUCUGAGAAGAUUGCUGUUGAAGUGAAGCUGUUGGAGGUGGAGUGGCUUCGUUUGUUAGGUGGGGCGUUUCCUCCAUUGUCACAUGUGAGGGGAAAAAAAUCCAGAGAAGUCAUUGCUUUUAUUAUAGCUCCUUUGUCCUACCAGGUGCCUCUUCAGAUCUUAGCCACUGUCAGUAUAAUCGUCUUUUAGUGAUCGCAUUUAUUCCAUUCUAGAAGUUUGCUGUACCAGAAAGAAGACUGAACUAGGGAGGCCAUGUAACAUAAUGGACAAGUGUUAGAGUGUUGCUUGGAGAAGAGCCUAAGAUCAUAUCCACCAAACUGGAUACAUUGUUCACCCCAAGAUUGACCCUGAGCUAACAUCUGUGCCAGUCUUCCUCUGUUUUGUAUGUGGGAUACUGCCACAGCAUGGCUUGAUGAAUGGUGUGUAGGUCUGCGCCAGGGAUCUGAACCCACAAACCCCGGGCUGCCGAAGCAGAGCACACGAAUUUAACCACUAUGCCAUUGGGCCGUCCCCUAAAAGAAAAACAUACAUCUAGGACUUCCUUCCUGUUGAUCUCUUGGGAUCCGUCUUUUCUGCUUCCUAAGCUUAGCGGUAGUUACCUAACUCUCUAAAGAUGCCAUGAUGGGUGACUAAACCCUUUUACAGCCAACAUGAUUCUCAAAGUCACACAGAAUGUGUUUGUUCUGUUAAUUAUUCCUCCAGGAACUGCAUAGUGUCUCAUCCUUUCUGCUCUGCAACGUGAGAGGGGACAAGACAAGGGAAAGUAUGUCCAUGAUAUUCAAUAUCCAGGCUCACAGGAGCCACACCUGAGAACUGACAAGGGUGGAAGGAAAACUUAGUUUUCCUCCCUUGCACUGAGAGCAUUUUUACAAAGGCUAAUUCAGAAAAAUAAAAAUUAGUGGGUGUCAUUUUUUUCCAUUCAAAAUAAACAUAGUUUUAUUAAGUCCCAGAAGAAAAAAGUUUAUGUAUAUUCUACAAAUUAUAUUGCUGACCUUAUUAAAUAAAUGAAAGUCAAUGAGAAAAUUGGCAGAGCCUUUUAGACAAUAAAAUGUUAAAA